AUGUUGCAAAUUAAACCCUACAUUUUUAGAAUUUUGUCCGCGCUCCUUUCUUCAUCCCAUACAGUGGCAGAGAAGGUGGAAGGGGGGCAGGUUCGGCUGGGCGGCUGGGCUCCCAUCGGCGAGCUCGAUGGCGUGGAAGGUGCCCGCCUCGUCGGCCGGCGUCCGUCUCGGAAUGCCCCCGCCUCCGGCCCUCUCGGCCUCUCCAGGUGGUCGUCAGCGCGAGCAAACGCAUCUCUCCCGCAGCGUCUGUCAGCGCCAGCGACUAGGAACGGGGAAUGGCCCGAGGCGUCGCAACCGAGGCUGAUAAGGCGGCCGGCGUGCUCGCUUGGGGCGCUGGACCAAGCCCGGCAGCACCGGAGGCGCCGUCGUGGGGCUGAUGCCGUUGCUCGCCAUCAGCACCAGCUGCAACAUGGCCGCGUUCCUCGGGCACCUCAGCGGCAGCAGAGCCCUCCUCCGACUGUAAGAUGGCCGCGCUGCUGA
Molecule: ribosomal RNA, 480 nt
Filed under: Triticum aestivum (bread wheat)
Lineage: Eukaryota; Viridiplantae; Streptophyta; Magnoliopsida; Poales; Poaceae
Description: partial small subunit ribosomal RNA
Source: RNAcentral